RNAcentral lists this ribosomal RNA (1243 nucleotides) under metagenome. Its description in RNAcentral is "bacterial LSU rRNA". It matches the Rfam family "Bacterial large subunit ribosomal RNA", at positions 1564 to 2816 of the family's 2925-position model. The record is from RNAcentral.
UGAUGACGAGACGCUAAGGCGUUGAAGUGGUGUAUGUCAGACUUCCAAGAAAAGCUCGCAAUGUCAUAGAUAAAAAAUGCCUGUACCAUAACCGACACAGGUGGGUAGGUAGAGUAUACUAAGGGGCGCGAGAUAACUCUCUCUAAGGAACUCGGCAAAAUGACUCCGUAACUUCGGGAGAAGGAGUGCCUUAUUUAUAAGGUUGCAAUAACAAGAUCCAAGCAACUGUUUAUCAAAAACACAGGUCUCCGCUAAGUCGUAAGACGAUGUAUGGGGGCUGACGCCUGCCCAGUGCCAGAAGGUUAAAGAAGUUGGUCAGUGUAAGCGAAGCUGAUAACUGAAGCCCUGGUGAACGGCGGCCGUAACAAUAACGGUCCUAAGGUAGCGAAAUUCCUUGUCGGGUAAGUUCCGACCCGCACGAAAGGCGUAAUGAUUUGGAUACUGUCUCGGAGAGAGGCUCGGUGAAAUAGACUUGUCUGUGAAGAUGCGGACUACCUGCACCAGGACAGAAAGACCCUACGAAGCUUUACUGUAACUUGAAAUUGGAAUUGGACUUUGCUUGCGCAGUAUAGGUGGGAAGCGUUGAAGAUACUCUUGCGGGACUAUUGGAGCUAUCAGUGAGAUACCACUCUUGUAAUGUUAGAUUUCUAACUUUGAACCAUAAUCUGGUCAAAGAACAGUUUCAGGCGGGCAGUUUGACUGGGGCGGUCGCCUCCUAAAUGGUAACGGAGGCGUACAAAGGUUUCCUCUGAACGGAUAGAAAUCGUAUCUAGAGUGUAAAGGCAUAAGGAAGCUUGACUGUGAGACCUACAAGUCGAGCAGGGACGAAAGUCGGUCUUAGUGAUCUGACGGUACUGAGUGGAAAGGCCGUCACUCAACGGAUAAAAGUUACUCUAAGGAUAACAGGCUGAUCUCCCCCAAGAGUUCACAUCGACGGGGAGGUUUGGCACCUCGAUGUCGGCUCAUCGCAUCCUGGGGCGGUAGUACGUCCCAAGGGUUGGGCUGUUCGCCCAUGAAAGCGGUACGCGAGCUGGGUUCAGAACGUCGUGAGUCAGUUCGGUCCAUAUCCGGUGUAGGCGUUAGAAUAUUGAGAGGAGCCUUCUUUAGUACGAGAGGACCGAGAAGGACACACCGCUGGUGUACCAGUUAUCGUGCCAACGGUAAACGCUGGGUAGCUAUGUGUGGAGAGGAUAACCGCUGAAAGCAUCUAAGUGGGAAGCCCACCUCAAGAUGAGUAUUCUCA